Molecule: long non-coding RNA, 284 nt
Filed under: Elaeis guineensis (African oil palm)
Lineage: Eukaryota; Viridiplantae; Streptophyta; Magnoliopsida; Arecales; Arecaceae
Description: long non-coding RNA (EGUI_LNC052027)
Source: RNAcentral
AUUGCAGGUGAUUGACUUGAAUUAAUUCUUAUUAAAUAAGCAAUCCAAGUCUCAAAAGGAAUUAUGUUUAACUAUGUGCUAGCAAUAUUCCCUUAAACCCAAUAGGAUUUCUCCUAAUCUAAUUGCAACUUCAUAAGCCUAAUUCUUUAUUUCAGGUCAAAUCCCUUUAUUGUGUGACUCCAUAGGUUCAAUUUUAUCUAAUAGUGAGAUAUACCUUGAUCUCUAUCAUAGUAUCAUUGAAACUCUUUUCAAUGGAUCAGAAUAAUUUUACUCUAACUCAACAA